Molecule: ribosomal RNA, 492 nt
Filed under: uncultured bacterium
Lineage: Bacteria
Description: partial 16S ribosomal RNA
Rfam family: Bacterial small subunit ribosomal RNA
Source: RNAcentral
AGUGAACGCUGGCGGUAGGCCUAACACAUGCAAGUCGAACGGCAGCACAGUAAGAGCUUGCUCUUACGGGUGGCGAGUGGCGGACGGGUGAGGAAUACAUCGGACUCUACUUUUUCGUGGGGGAUAACGUAGGGAAACUUACGCUAAUACCGCAUACGACCUACGGGUGAAAGCAGGGGAUCUUCGGACCUUGCGCGAUUGAAUGAGCCGAUGUCGGAUUAGCUAGUUGGCGGGGUAAAGGCCCACCAAGGCGACGAUCCGUAGCUGGUCUGAGAGGAUGAUCAGCCACACUGGAACUGAGACACGGUCCAGACUCCUACGGGAGGCAGCAGUGGGGAAUAGUGGACAAGGGGCGCAAGCCUGAUCCAGCCAUACCGCGUGGGUGAAGAAGGCCUUCGGGUUGUAAAGCCCUUUUGUUGGGAAAGAAAAGCAGCAGGUUAAUACCCCGCUGUUCUGACGGUACCCAAAGAAUAAGCACCGGCUAACUUCGUG